Populus nigra (black poplar) is the source of this 1868-nucleotide long non-coding RNA. RefSeq lists it as uncharacterized. The record is from RefSeq and is a predicted model, not a curated record. The transcript is spliced from 2 exons. Lineage: Eukaryota; Viridiplantae; Streptophyta; Magnoliopsida; Malpighiales; Salicaceae.
UUAAAUUUGUCAAUUUCCAAUUUCACUACUUAUUUCUUUUUGUAUGAACCCAAAAUUAUACAUAUAAAAAAAUCAGAUAAAUACUGUGUAUUGUGAGGUAUUUUAUUGUGGAUUUAUGCAGUGUUUCUCGCCAGAAAAUUUGUUGAUCUCGCGAUAUUAUGUUCAAUUUCUUCUCCUGCUUUCUGUGUCCCUUCCAUUUAUUGAGAGGCGUGGUUGUUUGGAGGCCAUGAUUUUCCUUUGCUUUUUGACUUCUUGGCAGCUAAUCUAUUUCUUUACCUUCUUCUUUUUUGAAACCAAACAGAUAGGGGAAAGACAUACGAGAGAGGCUGUUAUGGAGAAGAAAAGGAUCCAGUGAGAGGGUCUUGCUCUUGCACCAACGAUGAUGAGGUCGGUGGUGCUACGAUGGUGCUUUCAAUGUAGAUAGGAAUCUGUGAAAAAAAACAAAGGAAGUUCGUGGGGACUCAGAGCAGAGUUGGAAGGUAACUGCCGUAGUGGCCUUCUCUUGCAUCAAAGGCAACAUGGCAAGGUUUUGACAUGUGAUUUACGUUUUUUGUUGCUCAAGCAUCAAUUUUUUUUUCAUUUUUUCAGAUUUAUCUUCUUCUAUUUGGCUGCAAGCUACAUGGUGCUGGGUUAUUUGUGUGUUUCUUGGGGUUGAAAUUUGAAUUUAGUUGUUUUUCAUCUUAAAAAGGUUUAAAAUUUGGAGAAGGAAUAGCUGUUGUAGCUUGCUGACUUAGGUAUAAGUUGGUUAGGUUGGUUCUUUUGAAGGCAUUCCCAAGCUUCUCCAUGCCCCUUUUAUGUGCAGGUAAGGAAUUAUAUAGCGGUUCAUCGUGCAACUAAUUCACCUCCAUUUAUGGAUCAGACACAGACCAUGUUUGCUUCUGGUUUAGGUCCCUGCUUUGAGUUUUUCCAGUUGUUUUGCAUCCAUGGGUUUAGUGUCAGGGAACUAACUGAAUUAGACUUUAAGCCUUUUCCAUCAUCCAUGGGGUAGUCCUUUACUGAGCCAUCUAUGUGUAAUCGUGUUUCGAAAAAUAAAUUAGUGUUGUGCAGUAGCAGUGUGAAUGAUAGGAGGCAGAUGAUAGGGUUAGUUAAGUGUUUUAAUUAGUUUGGACUGUCUUCUUUACAUGUUGCCCACAAAGUGAUUGACGAGGAUUUUGAGAGAGAUGUGUUUUAUUUUAAGUUGUUCCUUGGAUUUUAUUCUUGCCGUAUGUUGAGCUUUUAAGUCCUUUUUUUUUUGUCGGGUUCUUGAUGCUCUUAGGAAAAGACAUGCUAAUUAAAUGAUGUUUGGGUCAGUGGUGGAUGUCUGUUGAGCUUUUAAAGUCCUUUUUUCGGGUUCUUGAUGCUCUCAGGGAAAGACAUGCUAAUUAAUGAUGUUUGGGUCAGUGGUGGAUGAAAGAGACUGUGAUAAGACGUCUUUGUGUUUGUGCAUUUCAUGUUUUUAUGGAUUUCAUACUUGGCUUAAAGAUGCUAUUAAUUUGGUCUUUGGUUAUGUUGUUUCGUUGAUAGAGAUCUAUAUUGUUUCGGUUUUUGCAUGCCAUGUUCAUGGUCCUUUUCUACGCAGUUGCUUUAUAAUGGAGCAGGUUCAGAAAAAUUCAGUCCUUCACAUGACAUCAGACAAGGCGACCCUUUUUCUUGGUAUAUUUUAUGUAUAAUGCAUGGAAGAAUUUACUCAUUUAAUUACAUAACAAGUGCAUAUUAGAAAAUGGAAUCCUGUAGGGUUGGAAAAGAUGGGGCUUGCAUUUCACAUUUGUUUUUCGUUGGUGAUUAAAUACUCUGUGGAGUCCUCUGAAAAAUCAUAUUGAUGUUAUUUUGGGAUGCUUAAAGAAGUUGUGUGCCUCAUUUGGUAAAAAAAAUUGGGUUUUCAAAACCAA